UGAGGAAUAUUGGUCAACGGGCGAGAGCCUGAACCAGCCAAGUCGCGUGAAGGAAGACAGUCCUAAGUAUUGUAAACUUCUUUUAUACGGGUAUAACGGGCGAUACGCGUAUUGCAUUGAAUGUACCGUAAGAAUAAGCAUCGGCUAACUUCGUGCCAGCAGCCGCGGUAAUACGGAGGAUGCGAGCGUUAUCCGGAUUUAUUGGGUCUAAAGGGUGCGUAGGUUGUUCGGUAAGUCAGCGGUGAAACCUGGGCGCUCAACGUUCAGCCUGCCGUUGAAACUGCCGGGCGUGAGUUCAGUGGCGGAAGGCGGAAUUCGUGGAGUAGCGGUGAAAUGCAUAGAUAUCACGAGGAACUCCGAUUGCGAAGGCAGCUGGCCAUACUGCGACUGACACUGAAGCACGAAGGCGUGGGUAUCAAACAGG
RNAcentral lists this ribosomal RNA (424 nucleotides) under Fusobacteriota bacterium. RNAcentral describes it as "Fusobacteria bacterium partial 16S ribosomal RNA". It matches the Rfam family "Bacterial small subunit ribosomal RNA", at positions 355 to 776 of the family's 1533-position model. The record is from RNAcentral. Lineage: Bacteria; Fusobacteriati; Fusobacteriota.